Molecule: non-coding RNA, 1033 nt
Organism: Macaca mulatta (Rhesus monkey)
Lineage: Eukaryota; Metazoa; Chordata; Mammalia; Primates; Cercopithecidae
Source: RefSeq, a predicted model, not a curated record
UCUCCCUCGCUGGUAGGCAGAUGCAUUAUGGAGAAUUUGGCAAGGUUCAAUUGAUAACUGAAGUAAUGCAGGAAUGACACUAGUGUGAAUACUGCUGGCUUAGAUAUUUCCUGUUUUUCAGAAGGAACAAGUACCCACUAUUCCUGUCAUUUUAAAGGAAAGAAACAAGGACCAUUAUUUCCUUGGCUUAAUAUUAAUAUUAAAUGGAUGCCCACAAAAUGUUGUCAAUGAAAAUCUGUGUUCAAAGCGAUAAUAUAUUCUGGAAUGCUUGGCUCAGAGUUUUCUUAAGAAACAGCUCCUAAAAUAAUGGAGUUUAGGACAAAAUUUCUGAAUAUCUUCUAAUCUUAAGAAAGGUAAAGGGGAGCCCAGCGGGUGACCUGCCAUGUCUUUGAUGUGCUUGACAAACUAACAAAUUUGUGGCAAUCACAGUUCACAUCUGCAUCAUCCUCAUUGAUUGGAUAAGACUCACAGAUCACUGUUGAAUGGAAGUCAAGAAAGAAGAUCAAGGUAAGAAGACAGGGGAGAGUGAGACAGUGUCCUACAUGGCCACCACUUGAGGAAAAUGAAAUAAUGAAAAAGAUGCUUACCAAAACCACAUUGGGAGGCGUGAGACCUGUUUAUGAAGGAUAUACCUAGGUAAGGAAGCUUACACAGGUGGAAGGUUUGCUUGGAACAUGUCUACAGCUGCACAGAUAAGAGGAGCUACACUGGACCAGGCACAUCCGCAAUGGAGAAUCCCAUCCCCUAACCCACGUGCAAGAAGGGAGAUUAAACAACAUGGAGUAACUUCAGCCAAGAGCCCACAUGCACACUAGAAGAACAGGGUGGGGGCUGUUGGGAAUUCACAUCUUAUACAAAUGACAUACCUAGUCCUAAUGGGUUUGCACCUUAUGUAGAGGAAACACCUCUCCCCACUAGCUUGUUUAUAAAAGUCUUUGUAUUCAACUGUAAAGCAGCAACCCUCUUUCGGGACCCCUCUCGUGGCAGAGAGCUUUCUCUCUUCCUUCCGCUUAUUAAACUUCUGCUCUAACUU